RNAcentral lists this ribosomal RNA (492 nucleotides) under uncultured bacterium. RNAcentral describes it as "partial 16S ribosomal RNA". It matches the Rfam family "Bacterial small subunit ribosomal RNA", at positions 29 to 507 of the family's 1533-position model. The record is from RNAcentral.
AGUGAACGCUGGCGGUAUGCCUAACACAUGCAAGUCGAACGGCAGCACAGUAAGAGCUUGCUCUUACGGGUGGCGAGUGGCGGACGGGUGAGGAAUACAUCGGAAUCUACUUUUUCGGGGGGGAUAACGUAGGGAAACUUACGCUAAUACCGCAUACGACCUACGGGUGAAAGCAGGGGAUCUUCGGACCUUGCGCGAUUGAAUGAGCCGAUGUCGGAUUAGCUAGUUAGCGGGGUAAAGGCCCAACAAGGCGACGAUCCGUAGCUGGUCUGAGAGGGUGAUCAGCCAGACUGGCACUGAGACACGGUACAGACUCCGACGGGAGGCAGCAGUGGGGAAUAUUGGACAAUGGGCGAAAGCCUGAUCCAGCCAUACCGCGUGGGUGAAGAAGGACUUCGGGUUGUAAAGCCCUGUUGUUGGGAAAGAAAAGCAGCAGGUUAAUACCCCGCUGUUCUGACGGUACCCAAAGAAUAAGCACCGGCUAACUUCGUG